UUUUGCCGUCCGUCUUCUUAAUGAGGGAACGUUCAUAAAUUAUGUCACGUAACAAAUUCCGAUUGUUCAGAUACACCCUCAUAAAGCAUGUGGCCCAAAUCGACCUUAUCACGCUAAAAUUCUACUCGCCAUCUCAUCUUAGCCGUGACAUAAUUUAUGGACGUCCCCUCAGUAAAUAUUAUGCAAUUGUGUACGACCGGUUUUGCAGUCAUAAUUUUCCGUCGCAGUAAAUAAUCGUACUCUUAUUUAUUUAGUAUCUACAGUUGUGUUUCUGGAGAAGAUUUGGAAGGGUAAACAUUCCUUUACAGACGCAACAAGAGUACGAUUUUUCGCCAUGUUCGCGCAGGUGGUGGUCGAUCCGGAGGAGGGUGUUGCGGAAAACGCCCGGGCAAAAUUGGCAAACGCACUCUGAAUUUGCAGUCUGCAAAAAUUUAAAAAAAAAUUGGGAUUCGCAACUCUCCAAAUGGGUCACCCAAACAGCUUCCGAGUCAAUCUUGGUCUCACAUUCAUACGGACAGGACGUCUUGUCCGAAAAAUGGACCAAUUCCACGUGCUCAGGCAUGCUUGCCUUCCUGACGAAAGUCUUGGAGCACAUGUCACAAGGAAAUCGUGUCAUUUGCAAACGCGGUCUGGGCGGCAUUGGGGCAUUGUGAAAUUCCUUCAUAUCGCUUUUAAGCGAUAUCGAUUUUAAGCGAUUUGAAAAUUCAAAGCAUCCUCGCGACUAAACACGCUCAGACAUAAGGUGCAAUUCCUCUUAAUCCCGCCAUUUCGGCUAUGAAUGUGGUCGAUUAAGGCGGCCAAAGUCGUGAAACGCUCAUCGCAUUCCAGACAACAAGCAGCUUUCGGAUUUUGAGCUUCACAUCUGUAAAAAAUAGAGAUUUUGAGGUUUAUAUCUGCAUACAGAAUUAAGAUUUUUUGUAAAAACACUAAAACAGUAGGGGAGGAUUUGAUAAGACACGGUAUGUGCGCAUCACAAUUAGCCUUGAAGAUCGCGAAAUAUAGAUUUUCACUCACCGCUCUCCCGCCUUUUUGGAAGCUAUGAAAAAAUUCUUUGAUAUACAUAUAUAGUGUGCUCAAUAAUUUCGAGAAUUUUUUCCCGCGUUCAUAUUACGAUAACCAGUUACUUAAGAUAAAAAUUAAGUUGGAUUCAAACUAGAAAGGUACAUAAGUUUAUGGCUAACAACAUACUAUAUAUGAGAAAUUUUUGGCAGGUUGUGUAGUUUUCGCGAUAUCGGCAUAGACAACCUGACGUGGCACAAAAAUUUUCACCUUUACUACCUGGUUUUCAAUAUUUCAGAACUCAAAGGAAUUAUACGAUCAACAGUGUAUGACAUCAUGAAAUAUUACCCUGAGGUAUCCUCCCUUACUGGCAGAAAAUGAUCCGGCCAAUCUCCCACAGGAAGGCAUAAACCACAAUGAAAGCACUAAACAUGCGAAUUUUUAGAAAUUCUCGCCGAUCUCAAAAGAGUUCGAAACUACAAUUGCAGGUUUCGCACGAGAUUGUUCAAAUGCCACUUUUAGAAGACCUUAGGGUUCCCCCAAUAGGUCGAUCCAUAUACUAUAUUUUGACACGUCAGUUGGAGAAGAAUAAAGUAAUCGGAUUCCGAGUACUUAUCCAGAGGCACGGUAGGAAAAAUUACAAAAAUAUCAUCUUAAGGAAUCCUUUAGCAAAGAGGGUUAUUUACCAGACCAGACUAGUUAGAUAACUUAAUUAAGAGCGUAUAUUUAUGUAAAUACGUUGUGUUGAAAAAGAAAAAUAUAUUGUUUGUGUAUUAGGAUUAUGACCUGUUGCUGAAUAGUAGAAGGUUCAUAAUACUAUGAACCAAACACAUUUAGAUUCAUACUAAUCCGUAUUCACGACAAAUCCAAAAAAUUAAACGAAGGUUUAUGAAAUUUGGUAAAUUUAAUCGCAAAACUUUUAAUUCGACAAGUGGAUAAUUCGUUUUUUACCAAUAUCUACUAAUCACAAGCACAACCUUAACUCUUGUGUUCUGGCUUUGUACUUUUUUUCGUAAGUUUAUCCUGCGUUCCCAAAAAACAUGGGGAAGAGUAAAAUCGGCACCCAUUAUUAAAUUAAGGUGCAAACAUUAAAAGAGGUGACUAUUCUUUCCUGCUGGUCAAACAAAAUCCCUCCUCCUGGAACUCGUUCGGGUUCAUGUGAUCGUAAAGUUACGGAUUAUUUCUCAACUUACAUAUGUACAUGUAAAGCCCAUUUAAUCGUUAAUUUAACGUCACAUGAUCGCCUUACGAGCUCACUGAGGAGGGAUGAUAGGUGACAAGUAGGCGUGAAUUAGCCUCUUCUAUUAAUGUUCGUACAAUACUUAGACCAUAAUUAUCAAAGGACUCCGUUGAUUAUACUAGAUUUUAUAAUUACAAAGGAUUGUAUUUGAUUAAAAUUUUCAUGAUUUUCUAUAAAAGAAAUUAUUUUUCAACCAGUUUCAUCUCAUUGGAAACGAGCUAACAAGCUGAUCAGAGUUAGCUUUAGGCUUUUAAUUACAAUUAUUUGGUAUUUAUUUACAUAAUCAAGGGCAGGCUACAUAUGUACUAUGAAGGUACACACAUAGAUUAGUUGAAUAUGAUAGCAUAUGAAUAUAUGCUUAGGUCACGUGUUCCGUUAGCUUUGGAGUAUAUGUAACAACAAUUGCAAUGCUUAUAUCUUAUAUCGAAAAGAGGAAUAACGAGUUGCGGAAGUAUGAAAGUGAACAGGUAUGUAAACUGUACGACGUUAGCGUCUUUGGUUCUAAAUUAUGAAAAUAUGCAUGUUUGCAACUGUAAAAUCUUCCUAAGUUCGUGAAUUCUGCAUAAGUGCUAAGAUAAAACACUAACCUUGGAUAUAACAAAGUUCAUUGUUUUUGUAGUGCCGGUUUUUGGGAAGAUCGUAAAGAAAAUUGCAUGACAUGCAUGGUUAUAAUAUCGAAAAUAAUAUUUAAUAAAACAGCAUUUCCCACCAAAUUUAA
Long non-coding RNA from Folsomia candida, 2957 nucleotides. RefSeq lists it as uncharacterized. The transcript is spliced from 2 exons. NCBI's taxonomy places the organism in Eukaryota, Metazoa, Arthropoda, Collembola, Entomobryomorpha, Isotomidae. The record is from RefSeq and is a predicted model, not a curated record.